This 426-nucleotide long non-coding RNA is filed under the name Manacus vitellinus (golden-collared manakin). RNAcentral's name for it is "lncRNA (ENSMVIG00005010210.1)". The record is from RNAcentral. Lineage: Eukaryota; Metazoa; Chordata; Aves; Passeriformes; Pipridae.
GGCCCGGCCCGGAGCGGGGUUUGACGGGCCGUGGCGAGGGAAGGAGUGGAUGGGUACGGUGAGCCUGGCGACCCCUGGCUCUGCUGGACCUGCCCUGGACUCGGAAUUGCCCGUGUUUUAAGCGGAGCCGCGGGAGUGACCUGGCAGCUCCAUCCGACAUCUUUUUCAGGAGAAGACUUCUUAUCUGUGAGGUUUCUGGUCAACUUUCAACUGAGAAAAAAGGUAGUUUACUCAACUACUCAAAGGUAGUUGUUGGCAUUUGCUGUCAGAUUUCACUGUCAGAUAGUCUGGCAACAGCUUUGUCAUCCAGAUGUUUCUGUCCCUGCCAUUCCUUGCUCAGCCAAAUCUGAGGAAGAAAAAGACAUCUUUGUUCCUUGUCUACCUCUCAUGAAAGAAAUUUCAGCCAUCUUCUGGUCUAAUUCCUGC